This 2524-nucleotide ribosomal RNA is filed under the name Condylostoma magnum. RNAcentral's name for it is "partial Eukaryotic large subunit ribosomal RNA". Lineage: Eukaryota; Ciliophora; Heterotrichea; Heterotrichida; Condylostomatidae. The record is from RNAcentral.
UUGUCCACUAUCGGUCUCUCGUUAAUAUUUAGCCUUAGGAGGAGUCUACCUCCCGCUUAGGGCAGCAAUCCCAAACUACCCGACUCUUAGAACGCGCUCUAUCGAUCAGCAGCCUCUGGCACGGGACUAUCACCCUCUCUGGUCUCCUGUUCCAAGGAAGUUACAGAGGCCGCCUUCCGCAAGAGCUACGUCUUCACUGUACAACUCGCCGAAGCGAUUUUCAGUGUGGGCUGUUGCCGCUUCACUCGCCGUUACUGGGGCAAUCCUGGUUAGUUUCUUUUCCUCCGCUUAAUGAUAUGCUUAAGUCCAGCGGGUAGCCUUGCUUAAGUUCAGGCACAGGUUGAAGCAGUAUCGUACUCGUGCGAUACAACUAGGAAGUCGCUUGCCAAGAGGAAACCACUUGGAGUUGAAAGCGAAACAGGCCCUGAACUAAGCAUACCAACAAGUUGGUGCUAGUUGCGUUCGAAAAUCAACUGACUCACAGAGUCUGCAAUUCGCAGUGCUUUUCGCAGUUAGCUGCGUUCUUCAUCGGUACGAGAGCCGAGAUAUCCACCGUUAAGGUUCUAAAAAUGAUGUGUUUUAUUAAGAUAAAUAUCCAAUAAUGAUCCUUCUGCAGGUUCACCUACAGAAACCUUGUUACGACUUCUCCUUCCUCUAAGUGGUAAGGUUUACACAACUUCCCGGGUAAGCGGUCCGAAGGGUUCACCUCACCACUCAAUCGGUAGGAGCGACGGGCGGUGUGUACAAAGGGCAGGGACGUAAUCAAUGCAAGCUGAUGACUUGCGUUUACUAGGUAUUCCUCGUUUAUGACCAAGAAUUCCAAGAGUCAAUCCCCAUCACGAUGCAGUUUGAAGGUUCCCAUGACAUGUCUGACAUGGAACUUACUGCCUGCAUCAGUGUAGCGCGCGUGCGGCCCAGGACAUCUAAGGGCAUCACAGACCUGUUAUUGCCUCAAACUUCCUUGGAGUAACCCCCAAAGUCCCUCUAAGAAGUCCCGAUCCUAAGCAGGAACGAACUAGUUAGCAGGCUGAGGUCUCGUUCGUUAUCGGAAUUAACCAGACAAAUCACUCCACCAACUAAGAACGGCCAUGCACCACCACCCAUAGAAUCAAGAAAGAGCUGUCAGUCUGUCAAUCCUUGCCAUGUCUGGCCCUGGUAAGUUUCCCCGUGUUGGGUCAAAUUAAGCCGCAGGCUCCACACCUGGUGGUGCCCUUCCGUCAAUUCCUUUAAGUUUCAGUCUUGCGACCAUACUCCCCCCAGAACCCAAAGACUUUGAUUUCUCGGAAGAUCCUGAAUGGGUCUUGAAUUCCCCAUCCAAUCUCUAGUCGGCAUAGUUUAUGGUUAAGACUACGACGGUAUCUGAUCGUCUUUGAUCCCUUAACUUUCGUUCUUGAUUAAUGAAAACAUCCUUGGCAAAUGCUUUCGCAUAGGUUCGUCUUUAAUAAAUCAUAGAAUUUCACCUCUGACAAUUAAAUACGAAUGCCCCCAACUAUCCCUAUUAAUCAUUACUAAGGGCCACGCACCAACAGUGGCUCUUCGUCCUUUUCUAUUAUUCCAUGCUGGACUAUUCAGGCUGGCGCCUGCCUGGAACACUCUAAUUUGCUCAAGGUAAAGUGUCUGAAGAAUCAGACGGAUGUACGGCUUGUGUCUCCGUGGAGACUCAAUCCGUACAGAACUUCAACUACGAGCUUUUUAACUGCAACAACUUUAAUAUACGCUACUGGAGCUGGUAUUACCGCGGCUGCUGGCACCAGACUUGCCCUCCAGUGGAUCCUCGAUAAGGCUUUUACAUUGUCCUCAUUCCAAUCACGAGACUUUGCCCCGCGUUGUUAUUUCUUGUCACUACCUCCCUGAGUUAGGAUUGGGUAAUUUGCGCGCCUGCUGCCUUCCUUAGAUGUGGUAGCCGUUUCUCAGGCUCCCUCUCCGGAAUCGAACCCUAAUUCUCCGUCACCCGUCAUUGCCAUGGUAGUCCAAUACACUACCAUCAAGCUGAUAGGGCAGAAACUUCAAUGCUGCACUUCAAACGAAGUCCGCUCAGAUAUUAUGACUCCUCGCCCGUUGGCUUUAUCUAAUAUAUACUACGCACUGCGCAACCAGCAUGUAUUAGCUCUAGAAUUACUACGGUUAUCCAUAUAAACGUUCAGCAAAUAAACUAUAACUGAUUUAAUGAGCCAUUCGCAGUCUCACUGUAUAAAAGCUUAUACUUAGACAUGCAUGGCUUAAUCUUUAAGACAAGCAUAUGACUACUGGCAGGAUCAACCAGAUUACUAUGUAAAUUAAAUUUCUUACGAAAUAUAAUCACCUAUCCAAACAAAAAUUAGCCUACAUAACACUGCGUACAGUGCUAUUUCAGCUACAAACCAGCCCUAUAGAAGGUAUCUGGCAAUCAUUUUGACCAAGUUUUGGCACAAAAUAGGUACAACAACUUUUCCGCAAAAACAGCCCUGGCCUAGCACCUGGACUCGGAAAGUCAUAAAAAGAUUCCGGCUACUCGCCAAAGAGGCCCAGACGGUAUAUAAAAUGC